This 71-nucleotide transfer RNA is filed under the name Takydromus sexlineatus (Asian grass lizard). RNAcentral's name for it is "tRNA-Leu". It matches the Rfam family "tRNA". From Rfam's summary of the family: Transfer RNA (tRNA) molecules are approximately 80 nucleotides in length. Their secondary structure includes four short double-helical elements and three loops (D, anti-codon, and T loops). Lineage: Eukaryota; Metazoa; Chordata; Lepidosauria; Squamata; Lacertidae. The record is from RNAcentral.
ACUUAUAUAGGAAAAAAGUAAUCCAUUGGUUUUAGGAACCAAACAUCUUGGUGCAACUCCAAGUAAAAGUA